This 495-nucleotide ribosomal RNA is filed under the name uncultured bacterium. RNAcentral describes it as "partial 16S ribosomal RNA". It matches the Rfam family "Bacterial small subunit ribosomal RNA", at positions 28 to 507 of the family's 1533-position model. The record is from RNAcentral.
GACGAACGCUGGCGGCGUGCCUAAUACAUGCAAGUAGAACGCUGAAGGAGGAGCUUGCUUCUCUGGAUGAGUUGCGAACGGGUGAGUAACGCGUAGGUAACCUGCCUGGUAGCGGGGGAUAACUAUUGGAAACGAUAGCUAAUACCGCAUAAGAGUAGAUGUUGCAUGACAUUUGCUUAAAAGGUGCAAUUGCAUCACUACCAGAUGGACCUGCGUUGUAUUAGCUAGUUGGUGGGGUAACGGCUUACCAAGGCGACGAUACAUAGCCGACCUGAGAGGGGGAUCGGCCACACUGGGACUGAGACACGGCCCAGACUCCUACGGGAGGCAGCAGGAGGGAAUCUUCGGCAAUGGACGGAAGUCUGACCGAGCAACGCCGGGUGAGUGAAGAAGGGUUUCGGAUCGUAAAGCUCUGUUGUAAGAGAAGAACGAGUGUGAGAGUGGAAAGUUCACAAUGUGACGGUAUCUUACCAGAAAGGGACGGCUAACUACGUG